AAGUCGUAACAAGGUUUCCGUAGGUGAACCUGCGGAAGGAUCAUUAACACGUAUCCAACGUUAAAAACCCCCCCCCGUGAACUUUCAAUCCUGCUCUUGUAACCCGCGUAGUUCGCAAUCUCUGGUAAAUCAUAGCCCGGCAUGCAGUCAGUGUCGGAAAGUGUCACUGAUUGUGCAAGGAUAGCGCUUCACGAUUCCUGUAGACCGUACACUCGGGCAGGAGCUCUGCCAAAGGGUCCCCAUGCCCUUCUAACCCCACAGUUUAAUGUAAAGCUCAAUGUAAUACAUUGGGAAAAAAUACCGAACAACUGUUAACAAUGGAUAUCUUGGUUCUC
RNAcentral lists this unclassified non-coding RNA (335 nucleotides) under fungal sp. Its description in RNAcentral is "partial internal transcribed spacer region". The stretch from base 1 to 46 matches the Rfam family "Eukaryotic small subunit ribosomal RNA", at positions 1786 to 1831 of the family's 1831-position model. The record is from RNAcentral. Lineage: Eukaryota; Fungi.